AGCUCAGGGGAUAGAGCGCUUGGUUGCGGACCAAGAGGUCGGGGGUUCACCCGAAAACCCUUGAACGUACGCGGGUUCUUGAUCUUUCCCUCUCGUUACAGCGCUUGGUUCCUUCGGCGCCGGUGAUCCUCCUCCGGGAGGUCUGAUGUGUCGAUCGAGUCCCUCA
Molecule: transfer RNA, 166 nt
Filed under: Chloroflexota bacterium
Lineage: Bacteria; Bacillati; Chloroflexota
Description: tRNA-Arg
Source: RNAcentral